AUGAUGGACUAUAGGACAGGACUGCUGCUUCUAACUAUCUGCUGGACAGGUGUUGAUGGUCAGACUCUGACACAAUCUGAACCAGCAGUUAAAAAGCCUGGAGAAUCCCACAAACUGACCUGUACAACCUCUGGAUUCACAUUCAGCAGCUACUGGAUGGCCUGGAUCAGACAGGCUCCUGGAAAAGGACUGGAGUGGAUUGCUUAUAUCAAUACUGGUGGUGGUAGCACAUACUACUCUCAGUCAGUUCAAGGCCGGUUCACCAUCUCCAGAGACAACAGCAGAGAGCAGCUGUAUCUGCAGAUGAACAGUCUGAAGACUGAAGAUUCUGCUGUUUAUUAUUGUGCUAGAGUGGCAAAUGAUGAAUUUAACUUUUCAGUAUUAGACAAAAAUCUGUUCAUCUAUAUUAAUACCUGA
This is a non-coding RNA of Scomber scombrus (Atlantic mackerel), 417 nucleotides long. NCBI's taxonomy places the organism in Eukaryota, Metazoa, Chordata, Actinopteri, Scombriformes, Scombridae. The record is from the annotation of a RefSeq genome assembly.